This 700-nucleotide ribosomal RNA is filed under the name uncultured beta proteobacterium. Its description in RNAcentral is "bacterial SSU rRNA". It matches the Rfam family "Bacterial small subunit ribosomal RNA", at positions 83 to 779 of the family's 1533-position model. The record is from RNAcentral. Lineage: Bacteria; Pseudomonadati; Pseudomonadota; Betaproteobacteria.
AACCCCUCGAGAGUGGCGAACGGGUGAGUAAUAUAUCGGAACGUGCCCAGUCGUGGGGGAUAACGUAGCGAAAGUUACGCUAAUACCGCAUACGAUCUACGGAUGAAAGCGGGGGACCGUAAGGCCUCGCGCGAUUGGAGCGGCCGAUAUCAGAUUAGGUAGUUGGUGGGGUAAAGGCUCACCAAGCCAACGAUCUGUAGCUGGUCUGAGAGGACGACCAGCCACACUGGAACUGAGACACGGUCCAGACUCCUACGGGAGGCAGCAGUGGGGAAUUUUGGACAAUGGACGCAAGUCUGAUCCAGCCAUUCCGCGUGCAGGAUGAAGGCCCUCGGGUUGUAAACUGCUUUUGUACGGAACGAAAAGGUCUCUAUUAAUACUAGGGGCUCAUGACGGUACCGUAAGAAUAAGCACCGGCUAACUACGUGCCAGCAGCCGCGGUAAUACGUAGGGUGCAAGCGUUAAUCGGAAUUACUGGGCGUAAAGCGUGCGCAGGCGGUUAUGUAAGACAGAGGUGAAAUCCCCGGGCUCAACCUGGGAACUGCCUUUGUGACUGCAUAGCUAGAGUACGGUAGAGGGGGAUGGAAUUCCGCGUGUAGCAGUGAAAUGCGUAGAUAUGCGGAGGAACACCGAUGGCGAAGGCAAUCCCCUGGACCUGUACUGACGCUCAUGCACGAAAGCGUGGGGAGCAAACAGGAUU